UAACAACUUCCAUCAUAAUCUAAUGCAAUUCUUUUAAGUUCACCAAUCCUACGUGGAUUCUCUCAUCCCUUUUAUAUUUUUCAUUGCUUUCCAACUUUGGUGGUCUAAAAGUGGUAACCAAAUUCAGAUCCAGCUUAAAAUCUUAGCAACUCAUAUUCAUUUCUUCUGUUCUCCUAAAUCCUUAUCAAGCACUAGACAUACUUUCCUGCACUAACUUGGCAUAUAAACUUGCUCAAGUGCUAUUCCGCUUCUUCACUAUAGACCAAUGCCUCCAUGUUAGCUAGUUGUUAAUACUAAUGCCAUCAUCUUUCUCUAAUUUAGAAUGACAAGUAGUAACAGACCCUUUAUUUUUUUUGCUGGGUAUGGACUCUUAUUUGUGGCAUUUGGUUAAAUGUAAGUAUGUUAUUUAGUAUGGUAUCAGAAAGGGAAAACAACACCAAGGGAGACCCAGUAAUCAUCAGCCGAUUCCUGUAUUCUUAUAUUCUGUUGCCAAGAUUUUUUCCAUUUACCAGAUUAUGUGCCAACUUUAUUUAAGAAGUAAUAGAAUAAUGCUUAACGACAUUAUGAACAAUUGAACAAAAAUUGGUUGCUAUUUUGAAAUAUAAUGUUUUGCUUGUUCCUUAUGAGAUAUAAUUGGUCAUAUUAAACUAUAUACGUCGAAGCUGAACCAAAACACCUGAACUUGUUUGAUACUACUUUAUUUAUCAGUUACAAAGCCUAAUGUUGUAAUAAAUAAAAUGAAAGAGUGUAAAUAAGAAGAAAGAAGAGGGAAAUCAGAAGAAAAGAAGAGGAUAAGAUAAUGUAGGAAAGGAGCUGCUAGCAACGAAUCUACAAUGUUAAUGUUUAUAU
Molecule: long non-coding RNA, 849 nt
Filed under: Phoenix dactylifera (date palm)
Lineage: Eukaryota; Viridiplantae; Streptophyta; Magnoliopsida; Arecales; Arecaceae
Description: long non-coding RNA (PDAC_LNC002535)
Source: RNAcentral